GCUGGGAGGAGAGGACAAGGCUGGCAGAGGCUAAUGGAAGACACUAGUUUCCAGUUAUUUGCUCCAUUGGUGUUUCCCAGAAGUCGCCAUAGUAGUAGUUUUCCGACACUCUAACUCAUAAAUACCAGCCUUUGGAAAUCCUGUGUAUAGACUGUUUCUAAUCAACCCAGCGACAGGCCAGCCCUCUGAAGCCAUAUAUGUGGAUUGCUUCUUGUGUGUUUGGCCGCAGCAGACCUGACCUCUUUCAGAAAUUUGGUAAAGAAGCUAUUUUUCUUUGGGAUUAAGGAAUGGGCUGGCAUGAGCAUUUGGUACUGAAAAACAGCAGUGCAUUAGGUCACUCUGGGAAGGUUUUUCUUCACAACUAGAACCAUAAUCUUAAAAAAACUUUAAAUUCUGCAGAAGUUGAUAGGGAUCACCAGAAAAGUGCUGAUGGCCUUUGAAGUGAUGCAGACAAAUGGGACAUUUGUCAAAGGUGAAUCAGGCUCAGCCUGGCCUUUGAACUGGCAGCUGUCCCCCAGCUGAAUGUGAUAUGGAAAAUUGAUUGUCAUGAGUGACCCCAGCUGUGGAAUUGGGGGAUCAGAGAUAACUACAGAAGCAGAAUGGAGAACCUUGGUUCCGGGGGGCACUCCUAUGAAAGAGAAGAUGGACUCAGGAUGGGCAGUUGCACAAACAGACUACGGUAAUAGAAAAGGAAACAUAAAUUAUUUUGGACUGAUUGAUUGUUUGGGGAGAAACUGAGGACUGUACCCAGGAAAGGCAAUCACAGUCUUGAAAAGCCUGGGGCUGGCGAAAGGGCAUGGAAUUAUUAAUAAAUAUAAAACAGCAACAUAA
Chelonia mydas (Green sea turtle) is the source of this 831-nucleotide long non-coding RNA. RefSeq lists it as uncharacterized. The transcript has 4 exons. The record is from RefSeq and is a predicted model, not a curated record. Lineage: Eukaryota; Metazoa; Chordata; Testudines; Cheloniidae.